GAGUUUGAUCAUGGCUCAGGAUGAACGCUAGCGGCAGGCUUAAUACAUGCAAGUCGAGGGGCAGCAGCUUUAUAGCAAUAUAGAGGCUGGCGACCGGCAAACGGGUGCGGAACACGUACACAACCUUCCUUGAAUAGGGGGAUAGCCCAUAGAAAUGUGGAUUAAUACCCCGUAAUAUAGCGGUGUGGCAUCACACUGUUAUUAUAGUUUCGGCGAUUCGAGAUGGGUGUGCGGCUGAUUAGGUAGUUGGCGGGGUAAAGGCCCACCAAGCCUUCGAUCAGUAGCUGAUGUGAGAGCAUGAUCAGCCACACGGGCACUGAGACACGGGCCCGACUCCUACGGGAGGCAGCAGUAAGGAAUAUUGGUCAAUGGACGCAAGUCUGAACCAGCCAUGCCGCGUGAAGGAUGAAGGUCCUCUGGAUUGUAAACUUCUUUUAUAGGGGGCGAAAAAAGGUCUUUCUAGAUCACUUGACAGUACCCUAUGAAUAAGCACCGGCUAACUCCGUGCCAGCAGCCGCGGUGAUACGGAGGGUGCAAGCGUUAUCCGGAUUCACUGGGUUUAAAGGGUGCGUAGGCGGGUAGGUAAGUCAGAGGUGAAAUCCUGGAGCUUAACUCCAGAACUGCCUUUGAUACUAUCUAUCUUGAAUAUGGUGGAGGUWAGCGGAAUWUGUCAUGUACCGGUGAAAUGCAUAGAUAUGACAUAUAACACCUAUUGCGAAGCRGCUUACUACRCCUAUAUUUGACGCUGAGGCMCGAAAGCGUGGGGAUCAAMRRGAUU
RNAcentral lists this ribosomal RNA (778 nucleotides) under uncultured Bacteroidota bacterium. RNAcentral describes it as "bacterial SSU rRNA". The record is from RNAcentral. Lineage: Bacteria; Pseudomonadati; Bacteroidota.